CUCAAGUAUCCCAGCCAUUUCGAACUGACGACUGACACUCCCAAGUGAGCGGCAAAUGCCAAUGUGGUGACGAGCGUGACCUUCACAGCAAACCAAGUAAGCAUCCCAAAACUUUCUUCUUCUCAAAGCCUACUUGAUAGCUGGACAGAUUGAAGCCGCCACCCUGCGCUCCUCCAGUGCUGAGAAGUAUCAUCUUCUGAGCAAACUUCGCGAGAAGGUACUCGUUGAGCGCGGUUCCACAGAGAGCUCCGACCAGGUAGAUCCAGCCGACGAGCCACGAAAGCCAGUGCAUGCCCGGACAGAGCUGCGCAACCCAGUAGUAGACGCUCCCAAGAGUCGGGAAGGUGGAGUAAACUUCGGCAAUAGCGAGCAGCACGCUCAAAGUUCCGAGAGUGGUGACGAGCAUUCCCCAGAAGAUGACGAGCGGGCCACCAUAGCAGUACAUGUAACCGUAGUAUCCAGUGACGAAGCCGAGCGGGGCGGUGUAGGAGAAAGUAUAGGCGAACUGCUGGAAAGGUGUCAUGACGCGCCGGUACUCCUGCUUGUAGCCGAGCUCGUUGAGCCGCCUCUCGUCCUCGUCUCCAUCGAGCUUUGGAUGGCGAGCUCCAUCAAGAUUUGGAUCGCGAGCUCCUCCGGCUUUUGGAUCAC
Molecule: long non-coding RNA, 648 nt
Filed under: Selaginella moellendorffii
Lineage: Eukaryota; Viridiplantae; Streptophyta; Lycopodiopsida; Selaginellales; Selaginellaceae
Description: long non-coding RNA (SMOE_LNC000116)
Source: RNAcentral